RNAcentral lists this long non-coding RNA (2086 nucleotides) under Homo sapiens (human). RNAcentral's name for it is "HSALNT0355428". Lineage: Eukaryota; Metazoa; Chordata; Mammalia; Primates; Hominidae. The record is from RNAcentral.
GUCCCGAGCCCAGCCUCUCCGGGGAGGAGGGACCCGGCGGCGCGGCGUGGGUCGGGAGCGGGCGCCUGGGACUACUUCUCGUUUGAAAGUUUUCAGAGGCCAAAAGUUUGAGCCGGGGCUGCGGAAGGAUCCGGCUCUGGCGGUUGCCGCGCUCGGCGACAACUGGCGACUGAAAUUUGCAUCAGAGAAGAGAGUGGCCCAUUCGGUGUCCACCCGUCAGGCCACCCAGCAGCCAGGCACGCUCAUAAGCCCGCGUUACGGAUGGUGCGGCCGGGUGCACAGGCCCGAGGGAAGCACAGGCCUCGGCCUCCCAGCUCCCAACCCCUGCACCACCCACAGCCGGGAGUACCCCAUGGACAGCUGUGGCCGAGGAGAAGCCAGGGAUGAGGGGGAUGGGCCUCACCUCCCCACCAGCCUGGGAAGGGGGUAGGCCCCUGGCAAGUAGGUGAGAAGCUUUUUCAUUCACAAGUUGUCCGGGCUCCCCAUUCCUCUUUGUCAGGCCAGCGGGUGUGGGCAGUCGGGGGAGGCUGGGGUCCUGACACAACAGGAGUACAUCUGCUGGCCUAGGGCCUGGAGACCUUCUCCUACAGGUCGGGAGGCAGCCCUGGGCAGCGGGCAUUGCGGGGACUAAAGAGAAACAAGAGCAGGUUGUGUGCAGGGCACCCCAGCCACUCCAGAAACCCAAUGGGAGGGUGGGGGCUAGGACCCCAAGAAGCUGAAUUGGGGUGCAGUGCCGCCAGGCCUCCCCUGUAGGAGUCACUUUGGGCUUCCUGUCCCAACUUGUGGUGGGAGCUGGGGCAAGGUUCCAGGGGUACCCCGAAUGAAUGGGGCUGUUCCCAAGCUGGCCAGGGAGCCUGGAAGCAGAUGAGAUGGGGCCGCAGAGCCUGGUUUGCGGAGGGGAGAGGCAGACGUGUCCUGCAGCCCUCUCUUCUUCAGAGGCCCCCUGCGGGUGCUGAGGGGAGAGUGGCUUAGGCGUUGCACCCCAGGAGACUGAACUGGGUCAGUUCCCCCUUGUUUGCUGCCAGAGAAAUGGGGGUACCAUUGUCAGGGUGAGCUAAGGAGGCCCUGCUGACAUUGGCCCAACCAGGCCCCUCCUUUGCGGCUGCUGUGGGGACUUUCGAGAGCAGAGCACACCCCUAAGUGCGUGGAGAGGUAAGCACAGCUGGUGAGCACACGGGGACAGCGACGGAGCUCAUGGAGACCCAGGUGACCUUAAAACACCCCAGGGCCGGCUCCGGCCCCAGAGAGAUGUGGUCCGAGUAGAGGGGGGUCAGCAGUGACCUGGUGGGUGGGUGUAUUUGAGGGGUGCCUGUGUUGAAAGCUCUGCAGUAGAUUCUAAGGAGCAGCCAGGGCUGAGACUCCCGGUGCUGAGCCCAAGGCCCCUUUCCUUCCUGCAGGAGUUCAUCUUGGCUCUUGCAGCCCCCAUGACCCUGUGGCGCUGGGGGGCGGCUAGCAUGAUGCUCCCCAUUUUUCAGGAGGGAAGCUGAGGCUCAGAGACAUCAUGAGGAUGCCAGCUCAAGGCCCAGCCAGGCCUUGGUCCUCAGCUGCUGUCAUCCAGUAGGGUAAGUGGGACCCCCAGGAGGUGUUGGGGGACACUCCUCCCCUCCCCCACACUCACAGUCUGUUCACCGCCCAAGGCAGCAGGCUGGACUCGGUGCAGGGACCAUGGCUUGGCGUGGCCAGGUUGGAGUGGCCCCUGGGACUGAAAGCAGGGGGCGUGGGGGCUCUGAGGCGGGGCCGAGUGCGGGGACGUCCUGUGGCGGGUACCCUGCUGGGUCCUGGGUGGGGGCCACCACCAGGCAGCUGUGGGAACAUUCCAGACCACCUAGGAGUAGGGCCCCUUCACCGUUUGAAGCUGACUGUAAAAAACAUCUGACCUGUGUGCAAAGCUCAAGCCCAGAGGCCUCCAGGGUGUCCAGCCUCCAGGGUGCCUCCUACGCAGCCUCCACGUCCCCAUCCACUGCAGCCCCUGACCAUCGGGCACACCGUGGGGCCUUCGCUGGCCGCCGGGCCUCAGGUUCUGCUGCACCAAGUGAUUUUUAAAGCCCCAUCUGCCUUUCUCCACUUAUAAAGAACUUGGGACAUU